AUGAACGCUGGCGGCAGGCCUAAAACAUGCAAGUCGAGCGCCCUAGCAAUAGGGAGCGGCGCACGGGUGAGUAACACGUGGGAAUAUGCCUUUUGGUACGGAACAACCUCGGGAAACUGAGGCUAAUACCGUAUGGUCCCUUCGGGGUAAAGAUUUAUCGCCAAAAGAUUAGCCCGCGUUGGAUUAGCUAGUUGGUAGGGUAAUGGCCUACCAAGGCGACGAUCCAUAGCUGGUCUGAGAGGAUGAUCAGCCACACUGGGACUGAGACACGGCCCAGACUCCUACGGGAGGCAGCAGUUAGGAAUAUUGGACAAUGGGCGCAAGCCUGAUCCAGCCAUGCCGCGUGAGUGAUGAAGGCCUUCGGGUUGUAAAGCUCUUUAGCCGACGAAUAUAAUGACUGUAGUCGGAGAAUAAGCCCCGGCUAACUUCGU
Molecule: ribosomal RNA, 431 nt
Filed under: uncultured bacterium
Lineage: Bacteria
Description: bacterial SSU rRNA
Rfam family: Bacterial small subunit ribosomal RNA
Source: RNAcentral